UGGUACGUGAAAAGAAGAAUAAGCAUGAUAUUUAGAGGAAGGUUUCCUUGGUUUCCUCUUCUUUUUAAGAUGACUAUAGGACUCUAGUCUUAGAUUUAUUUUUUCCAAAAACCAAAAAAGAAAAAGCAUUAUAGUUAAUAUUUCUACUUCUGCAGAAAAACCUUUUCAACUAACUGAAACUUGAAAGAUGCUAUUUGAUCAUGUAUGCUCCUUGUAUUGGGAAUAGCUUUUUCAAGUUAUAUAAAAUUAAUGUGGGAAGAAGAGUGGCA
RNAcentral lists this unclassified non-coding RNA (269 nucleotides) under Hevea brasiliensis (rubber tree). Lineage: Eukaryota; Viridiplantae; Streptophyta; Magnoliopsida; Malpighiales; Euphorbiaceae. The record is from RNAcentral.